UGGGGAAUCUUGGACAAUGGGCGCAAGCCUGAUCCAGCCAUGCCGCGUGGAUGAUGAAGGCCCUAGGGUUGUAAAAUCCUUUCGUUGGGGACGAUAAUGACGGUACCCAAAGAAGAAGCUCCGGCUAACUUCGUGCCAGCAGCCGCGGUAAUACGAACCGAGCGAACGUUGUUCGGAAUCACUGGGCUUAAAGGGCGCGUAGGCGGGUUUGCAAGUCCGUGGUGAAAUACCUCAGCUCAACUGAGGAACUGCCUCGGAUACUGCGAGUCUCGAGGGUGGUAGGGGUAUGCGGAACUAUCGGUGGAGCGGUGAAAUGCGUUGAUAUCGAUAGGAACUCCGGUGGCGAAGGCGGCAUACUGGACCACUUCUGACGCUGAGGCGCGAAAGCCAGGGGAGCAAACGGGAUUAGAUACCCUUGUAGUCCCUGAGCGGGCUGGCAAGGCGCAU
Molecule: ribosomal RNA, 447 nt
Filed under: uncultured bacterium
Lineage: Bacteria
Description: bacterial SSU rRNA
Rfam family: Bacterial small subunit ribosomal RNA
Source: RNAcentral